RNAcentral lists this microRNA precursor (284 nucleotides) under Malus domestica (apple). Lineage: Eukaryota; Viridiplantae; Streptophyta; Magnoliopsida; Rosales; Rosaceae. The record is from RNAcentral.
UUUCAUCUUAAGUCUUGCAUGUGGGAAUGAGGUAUGCAGUGCAGCCAAGGAUGACUUGCCGGCAGCAAUAUAUAUUCAGUUACAAUAUUAUAUAUCAACCCKUAUCUUCUAUAUAUAUGUAUAUGUACAUWGCAUAUAUAUGGGAUGUAUCAUGUAUAUAUGUUGAUGUCAUCUCAUGCAUAUAWGRUACAGAAAGAUACACGAUCUUGUGACAAUGAGAUGGUCGGCAAGUCGUCUCUGGCUACAUUUUUGCCUCCUUUUCUCAUGCUAGAUUGUUAUGAUGA